GAUGAACGCUGGCGGCGUGCCUAAUACAUGCAAGUCGAGCGAACAGACGAGGAGCUUGCUCCUCUGACGUUAGCGGCGGACGGGUGAGUAACACGUGGAUAACCUACCUAUAAGACUUGGAUAACUUCGGGAAACCGGAGCUAAUACCGGAUAAUAUAUUGAACCGCAUGGUUCAAUAGUGAAAGACGGUUUUGCUGUCACUUAUAGCUGGAUCCGCGCCGCAUUAGCUAGUUGGUAAGGUAACGGCUUACCAAGGCGACGAUGCGUAGCCGACCUGAGAGGGUGAUCGGCCACACUGGAACUGAGACACGGUCCAGACUCCUACGGGAGGCAGCAGUAGGGAAUCUUCCGCAAUGGGCGAAAGCCUGACGGAGCAACGCCGCGUGAGUGAUGAAGGUCUUCGGAUCGUAAAACUCUGUUAUUAGGGAAGAACAAAUGUGUAAGUAACUAUGCACGUCUUGACGGUACCUAAUCAGAAAGCCACGGCUAACUACGUG
RNAcentral lists this ribosomal RNA (497 nucleotides) under uncultured bacterium. Its description in RNAcentral is "partial 16S ribosomal RNA". It matches the Rfam family "Bacterial small subunit ribosomal RNA", at positions 28 to 507 of the family's 1533-position model. The record is from RNAcentral.